Mustela erminea (ermine) is the source of this 707-nucleotide long non-coding RNA. RefSeq lists it as uncharacterized. The transcript has 5 exons. The record is from RefSeq and is a predicted model, not a curated record. NCBI's taxonomy places the organism in Eukaryota, Metazoa, Chordata, Mammalia, Carnivora, Mustelidae.
UGAGGCAGGGGCUCCCUGUCCCCAUGGUCCCCGACGUGUGUUGGGGGUCACUGAAGAGGGGGUUUCUGCACAGUCUCGGGGGUAAACCAGUUGUUCCACAGAUUCUCUGCUCGGGUGUGUAAAGAGGGCCUGGCCUCCAGGAGCGUGUUGCCUGUGCGAACUCGUCCUGACCGGCGGGGCCUCCAGUCAGAAAGCAGGGUCUUGUGUCUGCUCCUACUUCUUGCUGACUGUGAGGCCUUCAUCAGAAACUUAACCUGUCCGGGACUGCAGCAGACCUCUGUGGGCGGUUUGUCUAAGCCAGGAAAUCAUCUAGGAUCAAAGACAUGGACUGUGUUUCUCAGCAGGGCUCGUGGCUGGAGGAGGACAGGGCUGUUGGCAUGGCUGAACCCCAGGACUUAAUUCUGGGAAGAGAUGGAAGACUGGACUGGAGACAGGACCUGAGCGGGAGAUCUUGACGCAUGGAGAUACACAGACUUCGCUUUCCUCUUGGAUCGUCAAAGGGUUUUGAAGCAAGGUCCCCAGCUCUCCUGCUCUCCGGCUUCACGCCCCUCUGAGGCCAUUCUCCAGCCAUCGGGACGAUGUUUAGAACCCUCGUGGAAGGGACCUGAGUGUGUGUUUGUGGAGGUGUCACAAAACAACCCCAGGAGCUACAAACACGUCGGGGAAGAUACUUUGAGAAAGUCUUCCGGGAUGUUCCUGAGCCACAG